ACUCCACUACUAACCGUGUAUGAGAUAAACCCCGCCUCCCUACUAACCUAAUAUCAAAUAUACACGGUUUUCACGUGGACGCGUCUUUUAUGGAAUCAACAAUAAACAGUAUGUACUGUGAUUAGAACUAGACUAAAUCGAUUAAAGCAUUAUAUUCCAAAAAAAGGUAUAUAUUUAUUUUAUAAUGAAUAUGUACUUCCUCUUUUUGACUAUUGCUGUACAAUAUGGACUGAAACAAGUAAUCUGAAUAUGGAAAAAUGUUAAAAGUACCAAAAAAAAAGAGCAGCCAGGAUCAUUCUUAACAAAGCAUAUGACACACCGUCAAAAACUUUAUUUUAAAAAUUAGGAUGGUUAACUUCACAUAUCACAAAGGAGUAUUAAUGUAUAAGUGUGUAAAUAGUCUUGCACCUGAUUAUCUUUAUCAAUUACUUAUCAAUAACCAAAAUGUUAAUGCAAGAUAUUCUUUGCGUUCAUCGGACAAUAAUUGUCUUUUCAUAAAACGAUUCUGUAUGUUUUUCGCCUUUUGUUUUGCAUAAAAAGUAUGUAUGUAAAUGUAUAUAUGAUAUUAUUGUAUAUUUUGAAUUAUUCAGAGGGCAUCAGGGGAGAUUAGUAUUGUACUAACUGAUUUUACCAUCUUUUGAUAAAGUUUUUAUUAUUAUUGAAUUAUAAACGGUGGUGUUAUACUUACCGUACUCGCUUAAACUAUGCUGCAUAAUAUUUUUUUAUCAAGGACGCAAGAGUUAUAACAUGCAUAUGAGAGGUAUUUCUUAUUAAUAUGUGUUAUAUGUGCAAGAAGACAGUUUUCGUUACAUGGUCAGCAUUAUUUAUAUGCUGAAAAGUGUGGCUGUCUAACUUUCAAGAAUCUCACAUAUCCACUUUUAAUAUGAUGUUCUUAAUAUUGAACACCAUCUGUCAUAAUAGUUCUUAUCAUUUAAUGUAACCAGAAUGAUUCUUUUUUGGAAGAGAUAUUUCUUUCGUGUAACAUACACAAGUUAGACUUUUCG
RNAcentral lists this long non-coding RNA (1004 nucleotides) under Mytilus galloprovincialis (Mediterranean mussel). The record is from RNAcentral. Lineage: Eukaryota; Metazoa; Mollusca; Bivalvia; Mytilida; Mytilidae.